This 651-nucleotide ribosomal RNA is filed under the name Triticum aestivum (bread wheat). RNAcentral describes it as "partial small subunit ribosomal RNA". Lineage: Eukaryota; Viridiplantae; Streptophyta; Magnoliopsida; Poales; Poaceae. The record is from RNAcentral.
AUGCAUCACCUAGAGUAUGCCAAGGACAGGAUCAUGAUGGGAAGCGAGCGCAAGUCAGCGGUGAUACCUGAUCAUUCCAGGAAGAUGACCGCGUACCAUGAGGGAGGGCACGCUCUUGUUGCUAUCUUCACAGACGGUGCUGAUGCUGUCGACAAGGCCACCAUUGUUCCCAGGGUGGGUGCUCUUGGCAUGGUGAUGCAGCUGCCAGGGGAAGAUGCCGAGUUUGAACUCUCGAGGAAGCAGAUGCUGGCGACUCUAGAUGUCAUGAUGGGCGGGCGGGUGGCCGAGGAGCUUAUAGCCGGAGAAGGCAGGGUCACCACUGGUCCCUCAACUGAUCUAAGUGAGGCGACUCAGCUGGCGACUGACAUGGUCACCAAGUAUGGCAUGGGCAAGCGGGUGGGCUUUGUUACCUAUAGCAAUGGCGGUGAUGCUAGCGGUGGCAAGGCGACGAACAUGAGCGGGCGGAUGUCAGAACUGGUUGACGAGGAGGUGAAAGAUUUACUGGACAACGCUUACAAGAACGCCAAAGCGAUUCUCACGGAUCGUAGGAAGGAGCUUGAUGCGCUAGCCAACGCCCUCCUGAAGGAUGAGACUCUCACUGGUGACCAGAUCAAGAAACUAGUAACAGGAGGUGGAAGUAAAUGGUUUUGA